This 238-nucleotide ribosomal RNA is filed under the name uncultured bacterium. RNAcentral's name for it is "partial 16S ribosomal RNA". It matches the Rfam family "Bacterial small subunit ribosomal RNA", at positions 524 to 760 of the family's 1533-position model. The record is from RNAcentral.
UACGUAGGGGGCAAGCGUUGUCCGGAAUUAUUGGGCGUAAAGAGCGUGUAGGCGGUCCGGUAAGUCAGCUGUGAAAGUCAAGGGCUCAACCCUUGAAUGCCGGUUGAUACUGUCGGGCUAGAGUCCGGAAGAGGCGAGUGGAAUUCCCGGUGUAGCGGUGAAAUGCGCAGAUAUCGGGAGGAACACCAAUGGCGAAGGCAGCUCGCUGGGACGGUACUGACGCUGGAGACGCGAAAGC